RNAcentral lists this long non-coding RNA (730 nucleotides) under Mus caroli (Ryukyu mouse). Its description in RNAcentral is "lncRNA (MGP_CAROLIEiJ_G0003418.1)". The record is from RNAcentral. Lineage: Eukaryota; Metazoa; Chordata; Mammalia; Rodentia; Muridae.
AUCUUUAACAAGCACAAGGCCCUGCAUUUGAUCCUAUGGACAUGAAAACCCUGGUCCUACUCUGUAUAAGAAGGCCUUUUUCAGUUUUAAAGCUGCUUGGUUGUUUCUGAGGACAGUUACUGAGCACCUGCACACACUGAGACUCAGGCAGGCAGAGCUGAUCCCACUAACCUCCCCAGUCAAGUGAGCGUGGGUUUAAGGUCAGCGUGAAUCAGACCAAGACUCUUUAGCUUCAUCAGGGCUGUGGCCACCUGCUGCAAGAUUGGUCUUAUGUACUUGAGUGGCAGUGGGCUAAACUUGUUCUGCUUUAGAAAAUCGUACAAGUUCUGCUCCAACAUCUCAAACACAAGGCAGGAGGGGUGGUUCUUCAAGAUCUUAAUGGCCACAAUUUCCUUGGUGCUCCGCUUCCAGCACUUUGCCACCUGUCCAAAUGUCCCCCGGCCUAGGAACUCCAGGACUUCAUAGCUGUUGGUCAUAGAGCAAAGGAUCUCAUGCUGGACCAGCUGGUAAUCCCCUUCUCCGCUGGAACUGCUACUCUUGGUGGUCACAGUGGUGGUCGUGGCAGCAGCACCCACCACGGUUCUGUUCUGCAGCAUGAGAGGGGGAUGUUCUUCUAUGAUCUGCACGCUACCGUUGCUGUCCACUUCCUCACUCUUUCUCUUCAAUCCACAUUUUUGAUAUGGCUCAAGCAAAGAAACGUUGCUCCUGUGAGUCAGGGUCUGGCUGCUUU